Molecule: ribosomal RNA, 482 nt
Filed under: uncultured bacterium
Lineage: Bacteria
Description: bacterial SSU rRNA
Rfam family: Bacterial small subunit ribosomal RNA
Source: RNAcentral
ACUACGCUGGCGGCGUGCCUAAUACAUGCAAGUCGAACGGGAUUCUUUGAUCAGCUUGCUGAGAGAAGGAUCUAGUGGCGGACGGGUGAGUAACGCGUGGGAAUCUGCCUCUUACUGGGGGAUAACAGUGGGAAACUACUGCUAAUACCGCAUAAGAUCUUCGGAUGAAAGGUGCAACUGCACCGGUAAGAGAUGAGCCCGCGUCCCAUUAGCUAGUUGGUGAGGUAAAGGCUCACCAAGGCGACGAUGGGUAGCCGGCCUGAGAGGGUGAACGGCCACACUGGGACUGAGACACGGCCCAGACUCCUACGGGAGGCAGCAGUAGGGAAUCUUCCGCAAUGGGCGCAAGCCUGACGGAGCGAUGCCGCGUGAGUGAUGAAGGUCUUCGGACUGUAAAACUCUGUUAUUAGGGAAGAAUACUAUAGGGAGGAAAUGCCUUAUAGAUGACGGUACCUAAUGAGGAAGCCCCGGCCAACUAUGUG